Molecule: ribosomal RNA, 1282 nt
Filed under: uncultured bacterium
Lineage: Bacteria
Description: bacterial SSU rRNA
Rfam family: Bacterial small subunit ribosomal RNA
Source: RNAcentral
CUUCCAACCUCUAAGGGGAGUGGCGGACGGGUGAGUAACGCGUGGGCAAUCUGCCCGUAAGAGGGGGAUAACAUCGGGAAACCGGUGCUAAUACCGCAUAAUAUCUGUAUACCGCAUGGUAGGCAGAUUAAAGGAGCGAUCCGCUUACGGAUGAGCCCGCGUCUGAUUAGCUAGUUGGUGGGGUAACGGCCUACCAAGGCGACGAUCAGUAGCCGGCCUGAGAGGGUGACCGGCCACACUGGAACUGAGACACGGUCCAGACUCCUACGGGAGGCAGCAGUGGGGAAUCUUCCGCAAUGGGCGAAAGCCUGACGGAGCGACGCCGCGUGAACNAAGAAGGCCUUCGGGUUGUAAAGCUCUGUCAUCAGGGAAGAAGAGAGUGACGGUACCUGAGGAGGAAGCCACGGCUAACUACGUGCCAGCAGCCGCGGUAAUACGUAGGUGGCAAGCGUUGUCCGGAAUUACUGGGCGUAAAGAGCGCGUAGGCGGGCGCUUAAGUCAGGGGUGAAAACUGGCAGCUCAACUGCCAGCCUGCCUUUCAGACUGGGCGUCUUGAGGACAGGAGAGGAGAGCGGAAUUCCUAGUGUAGCGGUGAAAUGCGUAGAUAUAGAGACAUCAGUGGCGAGGCGACCACUGGGCUAUACUGACACUGAGUGCGAAAGCGUGGGGAGCAAACAGGAUUAGAUACCUGGUAGUCCACGCCGUAAACGAUGGGUACUAGGUGUAGGAGGUAUCGACCCAUUCUGUGCCGCAGUUAACACAUUAAGUACCCCGCCUGGGGAGUACGGCCGCAAGGUUGAAACUCAAAGGAAUUGACGGGGGCCCGCACAAGCGGUGGAGCAUGUGGUUUAAUUCGACGCAACGCGAAGAACCUUACCAGGGCUUGACAUCCUCUGACAGCUUCAGAGAUGGAGUGUUCUCUUCGGAGACAGAGAGACAGGUGGUGCAUGGUUGUCGUCAGCUCGUGUCGUGAGAUGUUGGGUUAAGUCCCGCAACGAGCGCAACCCUUAUCCUUAGUUGCCAGCGAGUAGAGUCGGGCACUCUAGGGAGACUGCCGGUGACAAACCGGAGGAAGGUGGGGAUGACGUCAAAUCAUCAUGCCCCUUAUGUCCUGGGCUACACACGUGCUACAAUGGCCAGUACAGAGGGAAGCGAAGCCGCGAGGUGGAGCAAAUCCCAAAAAGCUGGUCUCAGUUCGGAUUGUAGUCUGCAACUCGACUACAUGAAGUCGGAAUCGCUAGUAAUCGCAGGUCAGCACACUGCGGUGAAUACGUUCCCGGGC